Triplophysa dalaica is the source of this 1197-nucleotide long non-coding RNA. RefSeq lists it as uncharacterized. The transcript has 5 exons. The record is from RefSeq and is a predicted model, not a curated record. NCBI's taxonomy places the organism in Eukaryota, Metazoa, Chordata, Actinopteri, Cypriniformes, Nemacheilidae.
CAAAUGCACGAGACCGUAAGCCCUGAAAUUUAGCCUACUCCUGAAUUCUUUUAUUGCACAAAAAUACCUCCUAAAGAACGUGAAAUGAGGGACAGCGCACCACACAUGAUGGAUGCCGGGAUGAACGAUCUGGCAGCAUGUAUCCAGGUGCUUGCGUUGUGCUAUGCAACGGCAGUAUCUUCUGAGGCCUCCUUACCUUUUUACAAACCUUGAGCACUGAGCCGUUGUUUAACUUGGCAGAAAUUGGGCCCUCCCAGGAGCCACACCACAAAGAGAUUAAGGAUGUGAGUUGGAUAUGCGAAGACCCCUGUAGAUCAUCAUGCACCAGGUCCGCUGUGAUAUAACUUUCCAUAGAAGAAAUUACGACGGCAUACGUCCAGAAUGGAAGCGUCUGUCAUUGUGUCAGAGCUCUUCGCAGUCUCUCUCUGUGGUCUGCUGGCGCAGGGAUGAGUAAAUCUUUCGGGUUACUCUCAAUCCACAUAUCCCAAAGGCUUGCUCCACCCUAAACAUAAUAUUUCAUCAGAUACCAACCAUGUUUCUCACACUUGAACUUUCUGUUUGAGGGCAUCGCCGCUUCUUCCUUCGAGGGUCUACGUGUCAUCGCCGAUAACACGGCUCUCGGACACGGACAGGAUAGAGGACCGGAUGUCUUUCUCAUUGACUCUCAGCGUGCAAGUAGACCACAGCUGCCCGGUUUCCCCAAUCUAAUCUUUGCUCUGGCCCUGCUCUCGGCCCUCACAUCAGCUAAUACACUUGUGGUCAACAUCGGGAAGUGUCUGAGAUAACUGGAGGAUUAAAUUGUGCUGAGAGCCAUUAGGUAAGAUGUGUGGAAUCCACAGUCAUUACCUCAGACCCGCUCGAGCAGCGCACAUCCAAUGCCACCUUAUUUGGGCAAAUGCCUCAUGUCAUCAUUGUUGAGUUGGAAAAAAAACAGCAUUGCACAUUGAUAUGUGCUUUGUAAAUGUGAAGGGGGAUUAAGCCAUAGCAGUUUUGGGCUUCGGUUACUGUGGAGUGGCAAGAAAACAACAUGAAUCAGAGGUUUUUAUUGUAUCACCGUAUUAAUGAACGCAGACUGCACACAGGAACAUGUUAAGGACCGUGACUGAGCAUUCACGCCCAGGAGAAAAGGAUAUUGCUCAGAGGUUGCUUUUCCAAGAAGAUUUAAUGGUGUUCUCACUUACGUUUCAUUAAGGAUCA